This 355-nucleotide ribosomal RNA is filed under the name Calanus glacialis. RNAcentral's name for it is "partial large subunit ribosomal RNA". It matches the Rfam family "Eukaryotic large subunit ribosomal RNA", at positions 63 to 406 of the family's 3401-position model. Lineage: Eukaryota; Metazoa; Arthropoda; Copepoda; Calanoida; Calanidae. The record is from RNAcentral.
AAACAACUGUGAUUCCCUUAGUAAUGGCGAAUGAAACGGGAACAGGGCAUCGCGGAACUGCAGGUCAUCUUGGCCUCGCGGAAUGUCGCGUUCGGGAGAGUCUUCUCGAGGACCGGACGGCCAGUCAAAGUCCAACUUGACAGUGGCCACUGCCCAUAGAGGGUGAUAGGCCCGUAAGGCGGCUGUCCGUUUUCGCUGACUUUUUCCCUAGAGUCGGGUUGCUUGGGAGUGCAGCCCAAAGUGCGAGGUAAACUCCUCGUAACCCUAAAUAUGACCCCGAGACCGAUAGCAAACAAGUACGGUGACGGAAGAUUGAAAAGAACUUUGAAGAGAGAGUUCAGUCAUAGCUGUUUCC